Molecule: unclassified non-coding RNA, 330 nt
Filed under: soil metagenome
Description: partial contains 5.8S ribosomal RNA, internal transcribed spacer 2, and large subunit ribosomal RNA
Rfam family: 5.8S ribosomal RNA (bases 1-120)
Source: RNAcentral
GAUGAAGAACGUAGCGAAAUGCGAUAAGUAAUGUGAAUUGCAGAUUUCAGUGAAUCAUCGAAUCUUUGAACGCACAUUGCGCCCCUUGGUAUUCCGAGGGGCAUGCCUGUUCGAGCGUCAUUAUAACCCCUCAAGCUUAGCUUGGUGUUGGGGCCUGCUGUAAUAGAGCAGCCCUUAAAAUCAGUGGCGGUGCCAUUAGGCUCUAAGCGUAGUAAUUCUUCUCGCUAUAGGGUUCUGGUGGAUGCUUGCCAUUAACCUCUAAUUUUCUAUGGUUGACCUCGGAUCAGGUAGGGAUACCCGCUGAACUUAAGCAUAUCAAUAAGCGGAGGA